RNAcentral lists this ribosomal RNA (562 nucleotides) under uncultured Wolbachia sp. RNAcentral's name for it is "bacterial SSU rRNA". It matches the Rfam family "Bacterial small subunit ribosomal RNA", at positions 1004 to 1533 of the family's 1533-position model. Lineage: Bacteria; Pseudomonadati; Pseudomonadota; Alphaproteobacteria; Rickettsiales; Anaplasmataceae. The record is from RNAcentral.
AAGGGAUAGGGUCGGUUCGGCCGGAUUUCACACAGGUGUUGCAUGGCUGUCGUCAGCUCGUGUCGUGAGAUGUUGGGUUAAGUCCCGCAACGAGCGCAACCCUCAUCCUUAGUUACCAUCAGGUAAUGCUGGGGACUUUAAGGAAACUGCCAGUGAUAAACUGGAGGAAGGUGGGGAUGAUGUCAAGUCACCAUGGCCCUUAUGGAGUGGGCUACACACGUGCUACAAUGGUGGCUACAAUGGGCUGCAAAGUCGCGAGGCUAAGCUAAUCCCUUAAAAGCCAUCUCAGUUCGGAUUGUACUCUGCAACUCGAGUACAUGAAGUUGGAAUCGCUAGUAAUCGUGGAUCAGCAUGCCACGGUGAAUACGUUCUCGGGUCUUGUACACACUGCCCGUCACGCCAUGGGAAUUGGUUUCACUCGAAGCUAACGACCUAACCGCAAGGAGGGAGUUAUUUAAAGUGGGAUCGGUGACUGGGGUGAAGUCGUAACAAGGUAGCCGUAGAAUCACUAGUGAAUUCGCGGCCGCCUGCAGGUCGACCAUAUGGGAGAGCUCCCAACGCG